This 460-nucleotide ribosomal RNA is filed under the name uncultured bacterium. RNAcentral describes it as "partial 16S ribosomal RNA". It matches the Rfam family "Bacterial small subunit ribosomal RNA", at positions 338 to 795 of the family's 1533-position model. The record is from RNAcentral.
CCUACGGGAGGCUGCAGUGAGGAAUAUUGGUCAAUGGGCGCUAGCCUGAACCAGCCAAGUAGCGUGAAGGAUGACUGCCCUAUGGGUUGUAAACUUCUUUUAUAUGGGAAUAAAGUGCAGUAUGUAUACUGCUUUGCAUGUACCUUAUGAAUAAGGAUCGGCUAACUCCGUGCCAGCAGCCGCGGUAAUACGGAGGAUUCGAGCGUUAUCCGGAUUUAUUGGGUUUAAAGGGAGCGUAGGUGGGUUGUUAAGUCAGUUGUGAAAGUUUGCGGCUCAACCGUAAAAUUGCAGUUGAUACUGGCAGCCUUGAGUACAGUAGAGGUAGGCGGAAUUCGUGGUGUAGCGGUGAAAUGCUUAGAUAUCACGAAGAACUCCGAUUGCGAAGGCAGCCUGCUGGACUGUAACUGACGCUGAUGCUCGAAAGUGUGGGUAUCAAACAGGAUUAGAUACCCUUGUAGUC